Molecule: ribosomal RNA, 460 nt
Filed under: uncultured bacterium
Lineage: Bacteria
Description: partial 16S ribosomal RNA
Rfam family: Bacterial small subunit ribosomal RNA
Source: RNAcentral
CCUACGGGCGGCAGCAGUGAGGAAUAUUGGUCAAUGGGCGCUAGCCUGAACCAGCCAAGUAGCGUGAAGGAUGACUGCCCUAUGGGUUGUAAACUUCUUUUAUAUGGGAAUAAAGUGCAGUAUGUAUACUGCUUUGCAUGUACCUUAUGAAUAAGGAUCGGCUAACUCCGUGCCAGCAGCCGCGGUAAUACGGAGGAUCCGAGCGUUAUCCGGAUUUAUUGGGUUUAAAGGGAGCGUAGGCGGGUUUUUAAGUCAGUUGUGAAAGUUUGUGGCUCAACCGUAAAAUUGCAGUUGAUACUGGCAGCCUUGAGUACAGUAGAGGUAGGCGGAAUGCGUGGUGUAGCGGUGAAAUGCAUAGAUAUCACGAAGAACUCCGAUUGCGAAGGCAGCCUGCUAGACUGUAACUGACGCUGAUGCUCGAAAGUGUGGGUAUCAAACAGGAUUAGAUACCCCAGUAGUC